UACGGAGGGUGCAAGCGUUAUCCGGAUUCACUGGGUUUAAAGGGUGCGUAGGUGGGUUGGUAAGUCAGUGGUGAAAUCUCCGAGCUUAACUUGGAAACUGCCAUUGAUACUAUCAGUCUUGAAUAUUGUGGAGGUCAGCGGAAUAUGUCAUGUAGCGGUGAAAUGCUUAGAUAUGACAUAGAACACCAAUUGCGAAGGCAGCUCGCUACGCGGUUAUUGACACUGAGGCACGAAAGCGUGGGGAUCAAACAGG
Molecule: ribosomal RNA, 253 nt
Filed under: uncultured bacterium
Lineage: Bacteria
Description: partial 16S ribosomal RNA
Rfam family: Bacterial small subunit ribosomal RNA
Source: RNAcentral